Molecule: non-coding RNA, 4525 nt
Organism: Bactrocera oleae (olive fruit fly)
Lineage: Eukaryota; Metazoa; Arthropoda; Insecta; Diptera; Tephritidae
Source: RefSeq, a predicted model, not a curated record
GAAUGAAAUUUAGAUAAAUUGUAAACUAUCGAAACUCAUAUUUUAACACUUGUUACAAUUAUUUAAAACUUCUUUGAUCACUUUUGCACUUAAAUACUUAUACAUAUGCAGAACUACAAUAAAUUGUAUUAUUAAUAGCACAUCCAAAAUAAUUAAUUAUAUGCGCACAGUCGUUACUUCAAAAAAUUAAUUUUCUAAAUUUUAAUAUAUCGAAAGACAUUUUUACAAUUAUUUAUCAUAUAUCACAUAUUAAACACACUUUUUGCAUUAUUUAAUUAAUUUAUUUUGUCAUGUACUCACCGUUCGAGAUCCGUUCCCUCACAUGGAAAAUGGUAAGUUCGUCCCUCCUCGCUGCAGCCUGCAACACACUUUCUCCAUUUUAAGUUUGAUUUUAGCAUUUCGGCUGUAAAAUAACGUUAAAAAUUAUUAAAUACAUGCAAAUUUAUCUAAUAAAAAUUAAAAUAUACUUACCAGUUCACAAGCUGCGUGCUGUUUUUCUUUCGUUAUUCUUCGUAAUAACGGCCGUUACAAAUGGAGAGUAAAAAUUAAAAAUGUCUCCAUUCCCAUUAUAAUUUUGUGUGAUUUCAAUCUGGCUUUGACAGUUCUGAGUUCAGUAGGUUUUGACGUCUAGCAAUUGCUCUCUCAUUUCCAGUGAGAUACGAGUUGGGCAUCCCAUUAUCCCUGAUGUGCAGUAUGUUUAGGGUCGUUGUUUUUUGGAAAACAUAAAUCUUCCUUUAUCCCCAUUUUUUCCGCACUCUGCAACAAAUUAUUUUUCAAUAAAUUAAGGUAAACCUCUUUGGUCAUUAUUCCAUCGAUUAUAACAAGCACUACGAUGGAUUGCUCUGCGCACUGUAUCUGAUGAUACUGAUAUAUUUUUAGCAAUUUCCAAACUAGUGGCUAUUUUAAGAGCACUUUCAAAUGUAUUCUUUGAUUCUUGACUAUGCCUUUGAUAAAACGUUCAUCACGGUCCAGAAGCAAUUUCGGUCUGCCAGACCUUAGUAAAGUUGAUUUGCUACUUUCCACCAUUUUUUCGAUUUCCGAUAAAGAUUUACCAUCUUUAGAGUUAGAAAUUACAACUUUUCUUUUUUCUGAACUUAAUUCUCUUCUCUUCAUUAUGUUUAAAAUUAUUACAAUUGCAAUUGUCACUUAACUUAAACUAAAGUGAAUGACAGAAAAUUUAUGAUUAAACAGACAAAAUAUGUGGUAUGCAGAGGAAUUUAUUUGAAAGAAGUUCUCUGUUUUGGGAGAAAGUUCUCCAAAAUAUUAAUAGAGUGGACGCGGGAUUCCCUUUUAGUCGGGACGACAUUACCAGAAAAUUUUUAAAUUAUAUGAUAAAGUAUAAGCGGAUUCUAAAACGGAGUAGCACAUAUUCGGAGUUUGAUAGAACUUCGCUAAAGCCAAAAAAACGUGAAGUUUUAAUUUUAUUUUGGAAGGGAAGCCUCUGCGGAUAAAGAAAUGGUAAACAAGUUAUUGAAAGUGUUGGGUUAAUACUGCUGUCUAUGGCUAAUCAAAAUUGUAUUAAUCAGCAAAGGUUAAGCGCAGAGAAGUGUUCAAAAAUGAUCAUGUGCGUUAGGACCACAAGGGCCCCACUUAGAGGGCGUGCAGCAAUAAAUUUAGUUUUAUUAUUUUACACAUUAAGAUAAGAAAUAUGUUAGAAUAUACAGUCCACUAAUCCUAAAUAUGUAUGCUCAAAUAUAUUUAACAGGCAUACAUACAUACAUAAGCAAACACAUAAACAAAUAUACACUCAUAUGAUAACUUGUAGACCUAAGAUAUAUAUUUAGGCAAUUGAUUACAAGUGCACAUGAGCACUUGAAAACAAUCCCAUAACAUGUAGCAUAAACAAUGUGCUACAUACAUACGGACAUACACACACACACAUGUAUUGAGUUGUACUUAAAAACAACCCUAUGUGGUGUGCGUGCCACAUACGCACAUACAUAUGUAUAAAUUUAAUUAGAUAGUAAGAUUUGUAAAUAGUAUAUAAGCGAUGCAUUUAACAAAAUAAAAUUAGAAUGAAUAAGUUCUCAGCUCAAUGAAGUCUAUUUCUGUCCCCCACCAGCGGUAAGGCAAUUAGAAUCUUUAUUGAGUUUAAUAAUUGGUCUUACAAAUCAAUUAUUCAGAAGUACAAAUAAGUAUGUAAACUGUUAUUUAAAUAAACUUUAUUCUAGUUUUAAAUGGAAAUAAUCCAACGCUUUAUUUUUAUACUCUUGCAACAUGUUGCUUCAAAGUAUAAUAGGUUUGUGCACAUAACGGUUGUUUGUAUCACCUAAAAAUAAUCGAGUUAGAUUUAAAGAUAUAUAAGUACAUAUUUAUAUAUAAAUGAUCAGGAUGACGAGACGAGUUGAAAUCCGGGUGACUGUCUGUCCCUCCGUCCGUAUGUCCGGGAAAGAUGUAACUUGCGUAAAAAUUAAGAUAUAUUGAUGAAACUUGGUACACAUGUUUCUUGGUACCGUAACACGGUUUGUAUUGCUGAUGGGCGUAAUCGGACCACUGCCACGCCCACAAAACGCCAUUAAUCAAAAACAUAUGAAGUGCCAUAAGUAAACCGUCAGUUAAGAUACAGUACUCAAGUUUGGCACCACCAAUAAUAUUAAGGAGGGACACCUGUGGUUUGAAAAUCUUUUAAAGUGGGCGUGGCCCCGCUAUAUUACCCAAAUUUGCACAGGACACACUUUUUCAACUCUUGUUACAACAGUGUGACAAUGGGUGAAAUCGGAUGAUAACCUCGCCCACUACCCAUAUAACAAUUUUGUUAUAAACUACUAAAAGUGCGAUAACUCUAUAACUAAAUACGGCAGAGACAUUAAAUUUUACAGCAGAGAUGGCAGGUAAUAUUGUUAUGACAUUUCUACAUGACAGUGCGAAAAUAAGCGAAAUCAGGUGAAAACCUACUUUUCAUAUAACAAAAUUUUAAAUUUCCUCUGAUUGUUUCACUUUUCAGUAUACAAAUCAAGAACCAAUCAAUGUAUCCAAAAAAAAAUGUGUACGAAUAGUGCCUUUAAAGUUUGCCAUCUUAUGACCACAUUGGAGCAAAACUGUUCAAGUUCUCUGAUACCGAAACUGUGUGUGUACCAGUUCUAAUUAUGAACUUUUUAUUGAAAAUAUCGGUUAAUCUGUGAGAUAUAUUAAAGGAAUUCGAAGAGAAUCCUUUUCUGAUAUUAGUAUGUCUGUAUGUCAAAAAGAAGUUGAAUCAGAUCAAUUAUUCUCUUAGCCCCCAUAUAUCUAAUAGAAAGAUUUUCGAACCUCCGACUGACUUCAUACCGCAUGUAUAGGUCUAUUUGAUUGUAACUUACCCAUGUAUGCAAAAUAUAAGUUAAACUAUAAGAAUCUCAGGUAUAAUGAAAUCCAGUUCCUAAAUUCAUUCGUCGGUGUAACCUUAGCUAUAUUUUGGUAUGCCCAAUACACGAAAUAUAUACCGUUAGUCUUCUGCUCCACUCCGUAGUAAAAGCAUGUGCUUAUUCUAACCUAUUUCGUGAAGUUUUAGACCUGUGGGUUAAAUUUUUUUGUAAAGUGGGCGUGGCUAAUUGUGGAAAUGGGUAAUAUCGGAUAAUAACCACCCCCACUCUCCAUAUAAGUACUAUAACUCACCGAAUAAAUAAGCCACAACCAUUAAAUUUCACAACUAGGAUGGUAGAGAGGGACUCUUUAGGAAAAUUCUGAACAUUGGACAAGAGGUGUGACUCCGCCCACCUUAAGGCGAAAUCCAAUAUCUCAGGAACUACUCGACCGAUUUCAAUCAAAUUUGUUGAGUGAAUUUACCCAAACAAUCCUAUUAGUCACUGCAAAUAACCAUGCCUAAUAUCCUCCGCCUUUAUUCCCUGCAAGUUGCAAUGUUAUGAAAUGUUCGGUUACACCCUUCUUGCCUUAUUAUUUCACUAUUACUACGAUCAGCUUAUGGUAAAGAGACACCUUCAACAAUAAUAAAAGCAAUCUGCAUAAAGGCCCAGUUAUGCAUAUAGUAUUUGAUUAAUUUUUAUUUGAUUAUUUUUAUCUUUUCGCUCAUCGCGUCUGUUGUGACACUUUGUUUUAAUAAUUCUACGACGACGAGCGAUUGAUUGAGGGAGUGCGGCUACGAAAUUUUGUAAAAUAAAACGUGCCUCGGAUACCGGUUGUCGGAUAAAAAGGCGGCUGCCUGGGCAAACAUCGCCCGAGGACUAGGAGCAACAGGUUAGUAGAUUUAUAUGUUUAUGUGUUUUAAAGUAAAAUUUUUAUUACGUCGUCUGGAACUUUUUCCUCUGUGUAUUACAUGUCACGUGACGAUCGGCCGUGGAGUAGGCCUAAAAAUGAAGGUGCCCGUCGGAGCAGCCGAGGUCAAUUAAGCGGCGCCUACAGUUCGCAUCAGCUGACCGUGUAGUGUAUAUACUAUUACUUAUUUGUGCUCGUGCUCCACGCUAUUUUGUUUGCUUUUGCCAGUGUUUAAUGUAAAUGUUAUUUUUUUUGCUUUUGGUAAACAACAACACAGCUUGUGGUCCAUAAACUGAUCAACCAGGAAAAAUCAAAGAAUAGUAUAACAAGUAAGGAA